CAGGAUGUUGAAUGCUUACCGUGCCCAGGUGACAGCGGAUGGUGGGGGCUAUGCAGCCAUCUGUUAAAUUGUAGAGUGUGCAAAAAUUAUCCGGUAGUUCUGUGUAAGGAGAAAGCUUACUGUAGAAAAUCUCAUUGGGAAUUGAAACAUCUGGUUGAAAAUGCCGCCGUUACUCUCGCAGCAUCCUCUUCAUCAAUGGGCUGCAGCUCUAGAGAAGGACAUGGAAGCUGAAGAUGUUGCAGAUUCUAGCACAAACAUGGAUUCAGAUAGUUUAGAUGCUGAUGUUGAUGACCAUAUGAGUUAGUAUUCGUUUUAGGCAAAUCACCUGACUUGAUGUGUGGCAUAAAUGUUUGAAUGGAACCAAUCAUCCGAUAGUUUGGAACCCGUGGAAUAGUACGUUUUAGGCAAUUCACCUGACUUGAUCUGACAGGGGUAGUUUUAACAUAUGGAACAAAGAGUAUGAGACGCUUGAUGGACUUUUAGCUCACCUAUCAGUUAAAGCAUGUGAAAAGGUUUAUGAAGAAGCAAGCUUGUUUCCAGCUAUGUCAAAAGGUUUAUGAAGAAGCAAGCUUGUUUCCAGCUUUGCUUCAACUGGAAAUGCUUCUAAAAUCUGACAUAUGGCCUAAGAGUUUCACUAAGUCAGAGCCCUGUGAUGAUAACAUCAGAUUGUAUUCUUUUUCCAUUAGACACGAGAUGUGAAAAGGAGUUCGAGCUGUUGGUGGAGCACAUGAUCACCGAAGAACUUGCUCUACGAACAAUCAUAACAAAUUCUGAGCUUUUGGUUUUCGCGUCCACAGAACUGCCCAUGCUAUACUGGAGAUUUAAGGGUAAGUACUACCUCUGGGGUGUUUUCAGACCAAAGCGGGAUUCCAGUAGGAAUACUAUGAUGCCAAAUGGAAAGAGUGCGACCUAGUAUGCUGUUUUAACUGGUUGCUAAUGCAUAUCUGUCAGAGGGCUGCGAAUCUGGUGAUUAAGAUGAAGCAGCUUUCUUUUUAGAGCCAUCUUGCGGGGGAGUUUUGCUUGGUUGAAGAACCUAAUGACCACUGAAAGACACCUGAUUUAACAAAAGCCUUCUGUUUUAGCAGUUGAUUGGAGGACUAGUGAGCUUGAUAUAUGCAGGAGCAUGGUUUCACAUGGCCAUUUAUUUUGUAGUUACUCCUACUUUGAUUGUCAAAAGGUCUAAACUUGUGCAGUUGUACAUGACCAUUAUC
This is an RNA transcript of Lycium barbarum (goji berry), 1211 nucleotides long. It is a transcript of the gene named protein PARALOG OF AIPP2-like, with no coding region annotated. Lineage: Eukaryota; Viridiplantae; Streptophyta; Magnoliopsida; Solanales; Solanaceae. The transcript is spliced from 4 exons. The record is from RefSeq and is a predicted model, not a curated record.